This 2212-nucleotide long non-coding RNA is filed under the name Helianthus annuus (common sunflower). RNAcentral describes it as "hypothetical non coding rna". Lineage: Eukaryota; Viridiplantae; Streptophyta; Magnoliopsida; Asterales; Asteraceae. The record is from RNAcentral.
UUUCUUUCUUCUUCUCUCUAGUGUUCUAACCAAUAAUCAUUCAAUCGCUAUUACGAUUCAUUUUCCGACCGAUCAAUAUAUCCAAUGGAUGUUUAAGUGCCGCCCAUAUUAGGGUUAUACUUUAUCGUUCGUCGUUAAUUCGAUGAAUGUUUAAGUAUCGCGCUUUGUCGUUCGUUGUGAGAAUUUGAUCUCGUGAGUUAUCGUAAAAGCUGUAUUGAUCAUUAACCCGGUUUUUGUGAAAUUCGUUAAGGUUCGAAUCUCAUGACUACCGUUAAGGUUUGAUUUGGGUUUUACACCAAUACGUAUUCCAUUCUGUUAAACUAUGUAUUUAACUACCAAGAAUACUCCCAACUACACCCUUACAAUCAAACAAACUAUUAAAUCAUCAGAAGAUCCAGAAUAAUAAAGUGCAUGCUUAAUUAUCGGAAGAAAUAGAAUCAAGAAGUUUGUUAACUCAAUCCUGCAUGCUGAUUUGUGAGUCAUUCUCUUUUUAUCAACUGUUUUACAAUACUCCAAAUUAUUUUCAGAAUUAUAAAUUACAGUGAUUAAGUUUAUGUAAUCACCAAAUUACAGCCAGUAUGUGGGGUAUUGUGCACAUUACUACAGUUUUUAUCACAUUAGGUGGGCGAACCUAAAAUUAAGUGAUACGUCAUUCAUUGGGGCAGCCAAUGGUGAUAUGACCACUGUCACAGAUCCGGUCGAGUGACAAAUACUGUGGGUAGUUGGUUGAUAUCAGAAACAUGUGUAAUUACAAUAGAUUGGAGUAAGGAGUGGAUCCGACACUGAAAGACUUCAAGAAGUGGCUUAUUUUAUUAAUUAAAUCAAAUUAAGAAAUAUUAUUUUUAUUAAAAGCUACCUUUGUAAAACAUGGAAUUUAUUCCAUCUAUUUAAAUAAAGUCCGGUGUUUCUAAACUCUGAUAUUUUCCUAACUCACGGUCCUGAUGAAAUUUCCGCUGCAAUGUUUUUCAAAAUAAUCACCGGUACCACAGGACUGCUCGCGGCUCCCGAUUCCGUCCAGGGUGGGGUCGGGGGUCGUGACAGUAAAGGUGGUAUCAGAGCUAAGCCACUGCUUUAAGCCUAUAAGUGUUGUGAUGACAAUACUUAAGCUUAAAUAAAAGAGUUAGGAGAUUGCUAUUAACUUAACUGGUAGCACAUCUGAUAGCAUUUAGACUUGAACAUAAGAAAAGAUGCCUUAGUAUAAGCUAAGCCACUUGUUUACGCAAAUAAGUGUUAUAAUAAUACCUAAGCUUAAACGGAAAGUUAGAAACUUAAUAUUAUCUGAUAACACUCUGAAUGACAUUUAGACUCGAACUUAAGAAUUUUGUCUUAAUAUAAGCUUCAAGAUAAAAUUACUUAUAUAAGUAUAAAUAAGUAUAAUCGGUAUUCAAUAAGAAUAACGACUAGCAGGCAAUAGCAUUUAAUUGCUAUUUAUUCUUGUUUAUUGGUAUUACUUGGUCAAGAAUAAAGAUAUAUUAGGGAAAUAUAAAUUUCCUUGAUUCUGGAUAAAAGCCUUAAUAAAAAAAGAGGCACUUUUUGAAAAGAUACUGUUUAUGGGAAAUAGGAAAUUUUCUCCGGCAAAACUGGGUAUAGAGUAGCAGACUCUCCAGCUUGUCCGGAUAUACUGAAAUUACCGCUCCGGCGUGAACCGGAUAAGACGGGAUAAAUGGUAUUUCAAACCAGUAGCAAGAUUUCCCUAAAUAGUAUCAUAACAUGAUAUCUGACUUGUUUUUGGAAAUAAGAAUAUGUUAAAUACAUUAACCUUAUGAAAGGUAUGUAUAUUACAGCAUGUGAAAUAUAUAAAUAUAUAGAUAUGUAUAUCUAUAAGAAAUUCCAAAAACCAUAACGAUUGAUAAUUAAGAAUAAAACACAAUCAUAUGUGUCAAUAAUAAUUCUAGAUUUCUUUAUCAGAAAUCUCUCGCAUAUAUCUUUAAUUUUGAGAUCAAACAUUAUUUCGUUUGAUCAUCUGUCUCAUAACUCGUGCAACAAUAUAAUUAAAUGAAAACCCAUUAAGUUGGGACAUCAUCAAAAGUAUAAGAAUUUCCAAUGCAUUACUAUAAACUAUUAACGCAAGUAAGAAGUAUAUAAAGUUGUGAAAACACAUGAAACUUAAAAUAUACGUCCACAGACGUUGAAGUAUAUCCCACACGAUUUUCCAAGGCAAGACCUGUGAAAAAUAUAAAUUAGGCACGAUGACACCAAUGCUAAUUCCGUC